RNAcentral lists this ribosomal RNA (523 nucleotides) under uncultured bacterium. RNAcentral describes it as "partial 16S ribosomal RNA". It matches the Rfam family "Bacterial small subunit ribosomal RNA", at positions 28 to 523 of the family's 1533-position model. The record is from RNAcentral.
GACGAACGCUGGCGGCGUGCCUAAUACAUGCAAGUCGAGCGCAGGAAACUGACGGAACUCUUCGGAGGGAAGGCAGUGGAAUGAGCGGCGGACGGGUGAGUAACACGUAAGGAACCUACCUCAAGGAUUGGAUAACUCCGAGAAAUCGGAGCUAAUACCGGAUAGCUCAACGGACCGCAUGGUCCGCUGAUGAAAGGCGCUUCGGCGGCACCUUGAGAUUGCCUUGCGGUGCAUUAGCUAGUUGGUGGGGUAACGGCCCACCAAGGCGACGAUGCAUAGCCGACCUGAGAGGGUGAUCGGCCACACUGGGACUGAGACACGGCCCAGACUCCUACGGGAGGCAGCAGUAGGGAAUCUUCCACAAUGGACGAAAGUCUGAUGGAGCAACGCCGCGUGAGUGAUGAAGGUUUUCGGAUCGUAAAACUCUGUUGUAAGGGAAGAACACGUACGAGAGGGAAUGCUCGUACCUUGACGGUACCUUACGAGAAAGCCACGGCUAACUACGUGCCAGCAGCCGCCGCCG